Aegilops tauschii subsp. strangulata is the source of this 1557-nucleotide non-coding RNA. Lineage: Eukaryota; Viridiplantae; Streptophyta; Magnoliopsida; Poales; Poaceae. The record is from RefSeq and is a predicted model, not a curated record.
AUUUUAUCCGAAAGACAGAUUUUACUCAACCUUUAGUAUAAUAUUUGCUUUGUUCUUAUACUGAUUCCUCGAUGCUCUGUUCAUGGCUUUGUUCUUAUUUCUGACGCUAUAUAUUUGCUCUAUCCAAAAGACAGAUUUUACUCAAUCUUUUGCCUUUUAGAAAAAGGGAGAUGCCAUUUAGACCUUACUCUGUCCAACUUGAUCUUCAACUUGCCGCUACUGUUUCUAAGCAUUUUCCCGAAAACUAUUGUAUUUGCUUUAGAGAAUGAGCUCACCUUACUCAGAAGAUAUGCCAAGUAAAAAAUUAGAAAUUGAACAAUUAGUUCCGCUCUUAAAUUUUGCACAACAGUCCAAAUUAUCCAAUAAAUCAUGUGUUAGCAGGGUCAGAUUAUAGAAGUUGAAUCACUUGUUCUAGAUUACCCAAUCCAAAUUAUGGAUGUUAAUAAUAUGCUUUCUGUUAGACUAUUAGUCAAAUUGUCGAAAGCCGGAGCUGGGUCGAGCCUUUGGCCAUUACGUGAGAAGCAACACCGGUGUUGGCCGUUACCGUGUGCAGAGUGCGUGAGUUAGUGAUUUAAUUCCAUCCUUUCCAUCUCAUGAUGUGAUUUUUCCUUUAGGAUGAAUUAGUAACUUUGUGUGGAGGUGGCACCACUACCUGCUGGUUGGUGUAAUGCCGUGCUUGACAGGGUGAUCUGCAAUUUUGAGUUUGUUUAAUGGCUUAAUGUCUAAGCACUCAUCCCCUUAUUCUGUUGUGUUGCUACCAACUUGGUUUGCAAGGAACAGAGCUUCAUCUGUGUACAUCAAGAUUGCUAAUUGCCAUCUGAAGGGUGAUAGUAAGCAUGAAGAUGCCUAAGCUUAUGAGGAAGCUGCAAACUGCGACCAAAAAUUCUCACUUCAGGGUACUCUCUUUCGAUCUCGAUCUCAGAGAGGAAACGAGGCAGCCACGGCCUCCUGCCCCCCCCCCUCUCUCCCUCUCUCCCGUGCCUCCGCGCUGCCGCAGUACUCCCGCGCUGCACACCGCUGCUGCUCCCCAACGACGGCGCUCUGAUGGUGCUUGCUCGCCUGGUCGCCGCCUCGUCUCGCCCGAUCUUGAUAUCGUCCGGGGUGGCGCCGGCACCGCUCGACUGCGUCGUUGCCUCAUCUGCGUCAUGAGAAGCGCCACCAUUGCCUCCACCCCCACUGGGCAAGGAGGUCGAGGUGUUUGGGGGUUCGUGUUUCCUACACAGGCCAAAACACUAUUGGAGUUUGAAACCAGUCGUUUGGAGCAGAUCAGCUCAAAAGAGAUCCUUUGUACCAUUUGCAGACUACCCACCUUCCUCUGGAGAUUGACAGGCCUGGAGUCUCGCUCGCCUCUAUUUUCCCCCUAUGGACACACAUGAGACUCAGAUCUUGGUUUGUCGUAGAGGAAUCGAUAGCAAGAAUCAACCAGAGAAAGGAUGUACACAAGGUGUCUAAAGAUUUACUUUGUUCCAGCGCCUACUUUGGAUCAUAGGAAACUAAAAAAAGAGGGCGCCGCCACCACCGUCAUCAGGCUGGCCCACAUCCACGGGCUGCUCGGCG